Molecule: ribosomal RNA, 224 nt
Filed under: uncultured bacterium
Lineage: Bacteria
Description: partial 16S ribosomal RNA
Rfam family: Bacterial small subunit ribosomal RNA
Source: RNAcentral
UUUACCUUUGGGUGGGGAAUAACAGUCGGAAACGACUGCUAAUACCGCAUAAUGCAGCGGCAGCUCAUGCUGACAGUUGUUAAAGCGGGGGAUCGUAAGACCUCGCGCCUAAAGAGAAGCCCGCGGCGGAUUAGCUAGUUGGUGAGGUAAUGGCUCACCAAGGCAUCGAUCCGUAGCCGGCCUGAGAGGGCGGUCGGCCACACUGACACUGAAUAACGGGUCAG